RNAcentral lists this long non-coding RNA (828 nucleotides) under Homo sapiens (human). RNAcentral's name for it is "non-protein coding DHRS4-AS1:19". Lineage: Eukaryota; Metazoa; Chordata; Mammalia; Primates; Hominidae. The record is from RNAcentral.
AGACUAGAUCGAUAGGGCUGCACAGAGGUGGCACAGUUGUGCCAGAGGUAGCAGGGACAGGAGGGCUGGCAAGGGAGGGUCCAGGGCUAGGGGAUUCGGAGUGGCUUCAGGCGGACCACGUGGCUACCUUUUUUCCAGGGCCAGACUUUGGCAGCGUGUAAGGUCUGAGGACAGGGGCACCGGAGGCCGAGGAUGAGAGGCCAGUGCCUGUUUCCAGGCAGCCAGGGCCUCAGAAACUCCGGCCGGAGCACUCACCCGUCGGUGGAGGCCGUUACCAGGGCCACCUUAUUUGCGAGCGGGUCCCGGCGGGUCAUCCCGGAGCUGGCCAUCCGCACCGAAUUCCAAGCCCGGGCACAGAGGCCUAGCAGCCCCGCCUUGUGCAUGGAUCAGACCAGCAAAAUUCCUUCUCCAAGAAAGUCUGGGUCUAUGUGUGUGACAGCCCACAGGAGGGCAAAUGUUUUGAGACUGCCCAUGGAGGUGAGGCCUGUGGUCGCCAUGGAGUCCACCAGGUGAGGCUGGAAGAGCCUGGGAGAGAGACGUGAUAGGGAGUAGCUGCGCCAGGCCUGGCACUGCCCUUCACUCUGCCCAAGGUCUCUUCCAUCUUCACGGGCCCUGGAGGGCAGACUAUGGUCAUUGGCCAAACAGCAUUCUCAUGUCCGUUGACAAAGGGACUUCCUCCUUUACAGGGGCUAAGUGGUAGCGAGGAGGCUGGACAGUCCCUCAAGCAGUGGUGGAAAUGCAAAGAACUCGGGGCACUCAAGUUCUCCCUAACCACUCUGUCCCCAGGUCUUAGCCGCCAUCUUAGUUCAAUAAAUAUUUGUUGAAUGC